AUUUGAUGAAGUGGGUAUUAUAUUUGUAACUCCCCAAAUCUUUCCCAAGCUUCGAAGAAUUCCUCCGUAUGCUUUUGUCUAAAAGUUUGGAUCUUGUUUCUUAACU
Molecule: small nucleolar RNA, 106 nt
Filed under: Thalictrum thalictroides
Lineage: Eukaryota; Viridiplantae; Streptophyta; Magnoliopsida; Ranunculales; Ranunculaceae
Description: Plant small nucleolar RNA R71
Rfam family: Plant small nucleolar RNA R71
About the family: R71 is a member of the C/D box family of snoRNAs containing the C (UGAUGA) and D (CUGA) box motifs. Multiple nearly identical copies of this snoRNA have been identified in Arabidopsis, and it is thought to function as a 2'-O-ribose methylation guide for 18S ribosomal RNA.
Source: Rfam by way of RNAcentral